Zootoca vivipara (common lizard) is the source of this 918-nucleotide non-coding RNA. Lineage: Eukaryota; Metazoa; Chordata; Lepidosauria; Squamata; Lacertidae. The record is from RefSeq and is a predicted model, not a curated record.
UACCCUCCUUGCCCCUCUUCACUACCCCCCCUUUGCUGGUUGGGAGGAAAAUGUGUGGGAGGUGUUACUUGGCUGGCCCUCCACUAAUUCCUCAGGCUAUAUCCUGCACCUUGCUUUCUUAGAACCCCCCCCCCUUUCUAAAGAGCCCCCUAACCCCAUGGCACAGUCAAGCUUCAGCUUCUAACGGUUACUAAUUCUGUUGCAUCAGUUAACAACCCCACUAACUGUGCUCCCUGGCUUCUGCUGCUGCCACAAAGCUUUCUGAUGGCUGUUGGUCUUGGGAUCUUUGAUGUUUGCUUGGUCAGGGAUGUGUGUGCGUGUGUGUGCUUAGUUUGACAUGCCUGGGUUAUCUAGUUCUCUUGGGCACCAGGGGGAAAUGGAGUCAGAAUCCAAAAGACUUGCCCGGAGCAAUUGCCACAUUACAGAACUCCCAAGUACUUUGCAUUCUGAGGAUGGCAUCAUUCCACCUGAAAUAAAAACACCAUGAAUGUCCACUGCAGUUAGGAGACUGCUUGGUUUUCUUUACCAAAUAGAGCCAUGCUAAGCUGGAAGCACGAGAAAAAUCUUGAAUAGUGAAAUUGGAUUCUGGGUUCGGAGUUUUUUCUCUGGUCUUGUGGGGCUGGCCCAGCCCACUUUCCAUGCCACCUUCAAGGCAGCACCUAGGGGAGCUGUUCAGCAUCUGAGGUUGACUGCUUUGGAUGGACCUAACACUUUCUACAACCUGUCAGAAACAACUCAUGAGAAGGGGGUUGCACUGUUGUUUCAUCUGAGCUCAAGCAUACUGGGGUGGUGAAAGUGUAAGUCUGAAUAGCCCAUCACACAAGUCACAUCAUAGGAGUUGGGGGGGGUCCUCCCCAUGUAGCCAUAAAUCAUCAGGGAAUAAGUUAAUUAUUAUGUGCUCAUCUUCUCUUCCCCCCC